RNAcentral lists this ribosomal RNA (253 nucleotides) under uncultured bacterium. RNAcentral's name for it is "partial 16S ribosomal RNA". It matches the Rfam family "Bacterial small subunit ribosomal RNA", at positions 524 to 776 of the family's 1533-position model. The record is from RNAcentral.
UACGGGGGGGGCAAGCGUUGUUCGGAAUUACUGGGCGUAAAGGGCUCGUAGGCGGCCAACUAAGUCGGACGUGAAAUCCCUCGGCUCAACCGGGGAACUGCGUCCGAGACUGGCUGGCUAGAAUCCGGGAGAGGGACGUGGAAUUCCAGGUGUAGCGGUGAAAUGCGUAGAUAUCUGGAGGAACACCGGUGGCGAAGGCGGCGUCCUGGACCGGAAUUGACGCUGAGGAGCGAAAGCCAGGGGAGCAAACGGG